CCUCCGUUGUUGUGCAGUGCUUACUAUUUUUCAAUUGCCGCGAGGCUUAACCAGCCAAGUCGCGUGAGGGGAGACGGCCCUACGGGUUGUAAACCUCUUUUGUCGGGGAGCAAAGCGAACCACGUGUGGUUCAUUGAGAGUAUCCGAAGAAAAAGCAUCGGCUAACUCCGUGCCAGCAGCCGCGGUAAUACGGAGGAUGCGAGCGUUAUCCGGAUUUAUUGGGUUGAAAGGGUGCGCAGGCGGAGGUGCAAGUCAGCGGUCAAAUUGCGGGGCGCAACCCCGUACUGCCGUUGAAACUGCAUCCCUUGAGUGCGCGAGAAGUAGGCGGAAUGCGUGGUGUAGCGGUGAAAUGCAUAGAUAUCACGCAGAACUCCGAUUGCGAAGGCAGCAUACCGGCGCGCAACUGACGCUCAUGCACGAAAGCGUGGGUAUCGAACAGGAUUAGAUACCCGUGUAGUC
Molecule: ribosomal RNA, 459 nt
Filed under: uncultured bacterium
Lineage: Bacteria
Description: partial 16S ribosomal RNA
Rfam family: Bacterial small subunit ribosomal RNA
Source: RNAcentral